RNAcentral lists this ribosomal RNA (468 nucleotides) under uncultured bacterium. RNAcentral's name for it is "partial 16S ribosomal RNA". It matches the Rfam family "Bacterial small subunit ribosomal RNA", at positions 28 to 507 of the family's 1533-position model. The record is from RNAcentral.
GACGAACGCUGGCGGCGUGCUUAACACAUGCAAGUCGAACGGAAAGGCCCUGCUUUUGUGGGGUGCUCGAGUGGCGAACGGGUGAGUAACACGUGAGUAACCUGCCCUUGACUUUGGGAUAACUUCGGGAACCUGGGGCUAAAACCGGAUGGGGGCUCCUGCUGCUUGGUGGGGGUUGAAAGGUUUCGGCGGUUGGGGAUGGACUCGCGGCUUAUCAGCUUGUUGGUGGGGUAGUGGCUUACCAAGGCUUUGACGGGUAGCCGGCCUGAGAGGGUGACCGGCCACAUUGGGACUGAGAUACGGCCCAGACUCCUACGGGAGGCAGCAGUGGGGAAUAUUGCACAAUGGGCGGAAGCCUGAUGCAGCAACGCCGCGUGCGGGAUGACGGCCUUCGGGUUGUAAACCGCUUUCGCCUGUGACGAAGCGUGAGUGACGGUAAUGGGUAAAGAAGCACCGGCUAACUACGUG